GAUGAACGCUGGCGGCGUGCCUAAUACAUGCAAGUCGAGCGAACGGACGAGAAUCUUGCUUCUCUGAUGUUAGCGGCGGACGGGUGAGUAACACGUGGAUAACCUACCUAUAAGACUGGGAUAACUUCGGGAAACCGGAUCUAAUACCGGAUAAUAUUUUGAACCGCAUGGUUCAAAAGUGAAAGACGGUCUUGCUGUCACUUAUAGAUGGAUCUGCGCUGCAUUAGCUAGUUGGUAAUGUAACGGCUUACCAAGGCAACGAUGCAUAGCCGACCUGCGAGGGUGAUAGGCCGCACUGGAACGGAGACACGGUCCAGGGUCCUACGGGAGGCAGCAGUAGGGAAUCUUCCGCAAUAGGCGAAAGCCUGGCGGAGCAGCGCCGAGUGAGUGAUGAAGGUCUUCGGAUCGUAAUACUCUGUUAUUAGUGGAGAACAUAUGUGUAAGUAGCUGUACACAUCUUGACGGUAACUAAUAAGAAAGCCACGGCUAACUACGUG
Molecule: ribosomal RNA, 497 nt
Filed under: uncultured bacterium
Lineage: Bacteria
Description: partial 16S ribosomal RNA
Rfam family: Bacterial small subunit ribosomal RNA
Source: RNAcentral